GACGAACGCUGGCGGCGUGCUUAACACAUGCAAGUCGAGCGGAAAGGCCCUGCUUUUGUGGGGUGCUCGAGUGGCGAACGGGUGAGUAACACGUGAGUAACCUGCCCUUGACUUUGGGAUAACUUCAGGAAACUGGGGCUAAUACCGGAUAGGAGCUCCUGCUGCAUGGUGGGGGUUGGAAAGUUUCGGCGGUUGGGGAUGGACUCGCGGCUUAUCAGCUUGUUGGUGGGGUAGUGGCUCACCAAGGCUUUGACGGGUAGCCGGCCUGAGAGGGUGACCGGCCACAUUGGGACUGAGAUACGGCCCAGACUCCUACGGGAGGCAGCAGUGGGGAAUAUUGCACAAUGGGCGGAAGCCUGAUGCAGCAACGCCGCGUGCGGGAUGACGGCCUUCGGGUUGUAAACCGCUUUCGCCUGUGACGAAGCGUGAGUGACGGUAAUGGGUAAAGAAGCACCGGCUAACUACGUG
RNAcentral lists this ribosomal RNA (468 nucleotides) under uncultured bacterium. Its description in RNAcentral is "partial 16S ribosomal RNA". It matches the Rfam family "Bacterial small subunit ribosomal RNA", at positions 28 to 507 of the family's 1533-position model. The record is from RNAcentral.